AUUCAAAGCAGAUUUAAAAGAUGCCGUCCGAAAAAAGGCGGCAGGGGAACCGGGUGGGAAUCCCGGACAAUGCCCGUUGCUGUAUUGGAGUAGUGGUAUUUCAUGAGGUCACUGUAGGAAAUCCUAUGGGAAGGCGAAAUACUGUGUUUGAUGCCUAAGUCAGAACACCCGCUUUUAAAGGAAUCUGGAA
Molecule: non-coding RNA, 190 nt
Filed under: Mediterraneibacter gnavus
Lineage: Bacteria; Bacillati; Bacillota; Clostridia; Lachnospirales; Lachnospiraceae
Source: RNAcentral